AGUGAACGCUGGCGGUAGGCCUAACACAUGCAAGUCGAACGGCAGCACAGUAAGAGCUUGCUCUUACGGGUGGCGAGUGGCGGACGGGUGAGGAAUACAUCGGAAUCUACUUUUUCGUGGGGGAUAACGUAGGGAAACUUACGCUAAUACCGCAUACGACCUACGGGUGAAAGCAGGGGAUCUUCGGCCCUCGCGCGAUUGAAUGAGCCGAUGUCGGAUUAGCUAGUUGGCGGGGUAAAGGCCCACCAAGGCGACGAUCCGUAGCUGGUCUGAGAGGAUGAUCAGCCACACUGGAACUGAGACACGGUCCAGACUCCUACGGGAGGCAGCAGUGGGGAAUAUUGGACAAUGGGCGCAAGCCUGAUCCAGCCAUACCGCGUGGGUGAAGAAGGCCUUCGGGUUGUAAAGCCCUUUUGUUGGGAAAGAAAAGCAGCAGGUUAAUACCCCGCUGUUCUGACGGUACCCAAAGAAUAAGCACCGGCUAACUUCGUG
RNAcentral lists this ribosomal RNA (492 nucleotides) under uncultured bacterium. RNAcentral describes it as "partial 16S ribosomal RNA". It matches the Rfam family "Bacterial small subunit ribosomal RNA", at positions 29 to 507 of the family's 1533-position model. The record is from RNAcentral.